GGCGAACGCUGGCGGCGUGCUUAACACAUGCAAGUCGAACGGAAAGGCCCUGCUUUUGUGGGGUGCUCGAGUGGCGAACGGGUGAGUAACACGUGAGUAACCUGCCCUUGACUUUGGGAUAACUUCAGGAAACUGGGGCUAAUACCGGAUAGGAGCUCCUGCUGCAUGGUGGGGGUUGGAAAGUUUCGGCGGUUGGGGAUGGACUCGCGGGUUAUCAGCUUGUUGGUGGGGUAGUGGCUUACCAAGGCUUUGACGGGUACCCGGCCUGUGAGGGUGACCGGGCACAUUGGGACUGAGAUACGGCCCAGACUGCUACGGGAGGCAGCAGUGGGGAAUAUUGCACAAUGGGCGGAAGCCUGAUGCAGCAACGCCGCGUGCGGGAUGACGGCCUUCGGGUUGUAAACCGCUUUCGCCUGUGACGAAGCGUGAGUGACGGUAAUGGGUAAAGAAGCACCGGCUAACUACGUG
Molecule: ribosomal RNA, 468 nt
Filed under: uncultured bacterium
Lineage: Bacteria
Description: partial 16S ribosomal RNA
Rfam family: Bacterial small subunit ribosomal RNA
Source: RNAcentral